AUUGAACGCUGGCGGCAUGCUUUACACAUGCAAGUCGAACGGUAACAGGUCUUCGGAUGCUGACGAGUGGCGAACGGGUGAGUAAUGCAUCGGAACGUGCCCAGUCGUGGGGGAUAACGCAGCGAAAGCUGUGCUAAUACCGCAUACGAUCUAUGGAUGAAAGCGGGGGACUCGCAAGAGCCUCGCGCGAUUGGAGCGGCCGAUAUCAGAUUAGGUAGUUGGUGGGGUAAAGGCCCACCAAGCCGACGAUCUGUAGCUGGUCUGAGAGGACGACCAGCCACACUGGGACUGAGACACGGCCCAGACUCCUACGGGAGGCAGCAGUGGGGAAUUUUGGACAAUGGGCGCAAGCCUGAUCCAGCCAUGCCGCGUGUGGGAAGAAGGCCUUCGGGUUGUAAACCACUUUUGUCAGGGAAGAAACGGCUCUUACUAAUAUUGGGAGCUAAUGACGGUACCUGAAGAAUAAGCACCGGCUAACUACGUG
RNAcentral lists this ribosomal RNA (484 nucleotides) under uncultured bacterium. Its description in RNAcentral is "bacterial SSU rRNA". It matches the Rfam family "Bacterial small subunit ribosomal RNA", at positions 30 to 507 of the family's 1533-position model. The record is from RNAcentral.